AAAGCUGAUCGAAAUUCGCCUAUUUUUUAUUGAUUUGAAAAGCUGAUUUUCAGUGUUUCCCAAUUGAUGAUAUGUCAUUUAUUCAAAAAGCUGAAAAGUGUUUUCAGAUUUAACAAUAAGUUCUAUCAGAUGUCUGUGGAAAACUUUUUGCUCAGAUCUAAAGAGUAUUCUGAGAACAAAAUCUUGCAACUUUUCACGAUUUUCCACAAGAAAAUCGAGUAAAAAGUCUUCGUCAUUUCAUCUAUUAGAAACACUGAAAAAAAACGUCACUUAUUUUACAUACAUUCAAACCAUCUUUCAAAUCACUGAAAAUUACUAAUAUUUUCAGACGGGUUUUUCUUGGGGAAAAAUUGGUGGGACUGAGCAGGUUACACAUUUUUUGCCUUUGCUCUGUCCCAAAAAGUAGGUUAAGCAUGAAUUAUUUAUUCAAUUUGCUCUAUUUUGUUUGUAAAACGGGUAAUAUUUUUCGUGCAACUUCAUUUAUUGAAACACUGAAAAACAUCGCUUACAAAUAUCAGUGGUUGACACAUCACAAACAUGUCAGUUGUCAAAGAAAAUGGCGUCAGUGCGGUGACGUCUUUCUUUUGUCUGUGCAAUUUGUCGCAGAAAAAUAAAGAAAUGGGCACAAUUUCUCCACCAAAAGUUGUUUGGAGAUGCCCUACGUUCGUGAAGUGCGUUGGAAGUGAUAGUGAUGGUGUGAAAGGGAUGUUGGUGUUCAGUGAAAAGUAAAAGACAUCCCUUGACUUGUGGCUGUCAAAAAUGCAUCAAAAGACUCCAAUAUGAGGCUGGUUGACUUCUCCGGAUCCUGCGUCAUCUCGAUCUCAGGACAAAUUGUGUCAUCUUGUAACUGGUGCCAAGACAAUCAGAAAAUGCAUGUGUGCUGGUGAAAUUGCUCCUCCAGGGAGGAAUUUUGUCAAUUUGGAUGCCAGACAAAAUCUACAAAUGAAGACACCCUACUAAGGAAUCUACUACAAAGGAAGACACUCUGGGUGCUGGAGGUAAGCUGCUCAAGCUGCAGAGAGCUGAAAGUUAUGCGAUCUCAUACGACAAGAUGCCACAAGAGAGAGAGGGGAGGAUUGGAGAUCAGCAUUCCCCGUCAGAAAUCAUCAAGAAGAUUACAUUGAUCAUCGACGUAGUAUAUCGAGGUGACCAUUGCUGGGAUUGAAGGUGGUUUCCAGACCACUACCGGAAAGAGAUAAAUAAAUUCGCGGAUGAUGGUGUGGUUUCAGGUGAUUCAGGUGGUUCUGAUGGUUCAGGUGAGCUUAAUAUAAAAUUUUAUAGGUUAACCCUUUAAGGACAAGAAGGUCGAAAAUUGGGGGUGCAGAAAAAAUAAUUUUUAGUGACUUCUGCGAGCGAAACAUAACUUUAGACGGGCGUAGGAAAGAUAUCUCUUUUUGGGUAACCGGAGUCACCGGUAAUCCCAUCGUCCUUAGAGGGUUAAAAGUUUAUACAGAAAAUUUUAUAUUCACGUCUGAUCAGUCCAGCCACAUAAUUCAAAAUGAUCAGUAAGAAAAAGGUCAGUAAAAAUAGGGCACAAAAAAGUUUAAAAAGAUCAGUAAAAAGAAAUUAAAUUGAAAAUCAGUGAAAAAUAAAAUACGGUCAGUAAAAAAUUUAAAAUGAGCAGUAAAAAAUAAAAUUUUAUCAGUUUAAAAUGAAAAGCGGUCAGCGAAAAUUAAAAAGUGGUCAGUAAAAAAUUAAAAUUGGUCAGUAAGAAAUUAAAUAUGAGAAGUAAAAAAAAUAAACUGUGGGCAAUAAAAAAUAAAAA
Phlebotomus papatasi is the source of this 1765-nucleotide long non-coding RNA. RefSeq lists it as uncharacterized. The record is from RefSeq and is a predicted model, not a curated record. Lineage: Eukaryota; Metazoa; Arthropoda; Insecta; Diptera; Psychodidae. The transcript has 2 exons.